AAAAUUUAAAUUUAAAAUACUAAAAUAGUAAAUAUAUAUAUUUAUUGAAACUUAAAUAAUUUGGCGGUAUUUUAGUUCAUUUAGAGGAAUCUGUUUAAUAAUUGAUAUUCCACGAAUAAAUUUACUUAAUUUAUAAUUUUGUAUAUCGUUGUUAUAAAAAUAUUUUUUAAUAAAAUUAAUAUUUUAAAAUUAAUAUAUAAAUUUAAAUCAGAUCAAGAUGCAGAUUAUAAUUAAGAAUAUAAUGGAUUACAAUAAAUUUAUUUAAAUGAAUUUUAAUUUGUAAAAGUUAAUUGAAGGUGGAUUUAAAUGUAAUUUUAUUUAAUUUAGUAAAAUGAUUAAAAAUUAAAAUAUGU
Molecule: ribosomal RNA, 353 nt
Filed under: Acrapex sp. ACKEG4855
Lineage: Eukaryota; Metazoa; Arthropoda; Insecta; Lepidoptera; Noctuidae
Description: partial 12S small subunit ribosomal RNA
Source: RNAcentral